AACGAACGCUGGCGGCAUGCCUUACACAUGCAAGUCGAACGGCAGCACGGGGCAACCUGGUGGCGAGUGGCGAACGGGUGAGUAAUGCAUCGGAACGUGCCAUUGAGUGGGGGAUAACGUAGCGAAAGUUGCGCUAAUACCGCAUAUUCUGUGAGCAGGAAAGCAGGGGACCGCAAGGCCUUGCGCUCUUUGAGCGGCCGAUGUCAGAUUAGCUAGUUGGUGAGGUAACGGCUUACCAAGGCGACGAUCUGUAGCGGGUCUGAGAGGAUGAUCCGCCACACUGGAACUGAGACACGGUCCAGACUCCUACGGGAGGCAGCAGUGGGGAAUUUUGGACAAUGGGCGCAAGCCUGAUCCAGCCAUGCCGCGUGAGUGAAGAAGGCCUUCGGGUUGUAAAGCUCUUUCGGCCGGGAAGAAAUCGCAUGGGUUAAUACCCUGUGUGGAUGACGGUACCGGAAUAAGAAGCACCGGCUAACUACGUG
RNAcentral lists this ribosomal RNA (482 nucleotides) under uncultured bacterium. RNAcentral describes it as "bacterial SSU rRNA". It matches the Rfam family "Bacterial small subunit ribosomal RNA", at positions 29 to 507 of the family's 1533-position model. The record is from RNAcentral.